Molecule: small nuclear RNA, 116 nt
Organism: Rana temporaria (common frog)
Lineage: Eukaryota; Metazoa; Chordata; Amphibia; Anura; Ranidae
Product: U5 spliceosomal RNA
Exons: 1
Source: RefSeq, a predicted model, not a curated record
AUACUUUAUUUUCUCUUCAGAUGUAAUAAAUCUUUUACUUUUCACUAAAGAUUUCCGUAGAGAGGAACAACUAUGAGUUUUCUGUAAUUUUUUGAGGCCUGGUGACCAACGGGGCU